This 349-nucleotide unclassified non-coding RNA is filed under the name soil metagenome. RNAcentral's name for it is "partial contains 5.8S ribosomal RNA, internal transcribed spacer 2, and large subunit ribosomal RNA". The stretch from base 5 to 119 matches the Rfam family "5.8S ribosomal RNA", at positions 40 to 154 of the family's 154-position model. The record is from RNAcentral.
GAUGAGAACGUAGCGAACUGCGAUAAGUAAUGUGAAUUGCAGAAUUCAGUGAAUCAUCGAGUCUUUGAACGCACAUUGCGCCCCCUGACAUUCCGGGGGGCAUGCCUGUCCGAGCGUCAUUGCUGCCCUUCAAGCCCGGCUUGUGUGUUGGGUCGUCGUCCCCCCCGGGGGACGGGCCCGAAAGGCAGCGGCGGCACCGCGUCCGGUCCUCGAGCGUAUGGGGCUUUGUCACCCGCUCGAUUAGGGCCGGCCGGGCGCCAGCCGGCGUCUCCAACCUUCUAUUUUACCAGGUUGACCUCGGAUCAGGUAGGGAUACCCGCUGAACUUAAGCAUAUCAAUAAGCGGAGGA